UUUUUCUUUUUUUUUAAUUUACAGUCACAAACUAGGAAUAAAGCUUAGUAAGUUAUAUAUCAAUGUUUGCAGUGUUCACUCUGGGCAGUAGGAUAAUAAGCUUUACUCUUUUUACCUACAUUUUCCAAAAUUUCUAUGGCAGGCCCUUUGCUUUAUAAAUAAAAUUACAAACUGUAUCAACAAUUUACUCUGGAACAUUCACUUAUUUACACCAGCUAUGUGUUAAGCUUUGCUAGGCAUUCCUACGUAUUUGUAAUUUAUACGAAAAUAAAUAAAACAAAACUCUCAAACAGCCCAUAAUCCACUAGGAGAGAGAUAAAAAAAACAGAGUUGGGGUGUUCAAUGUGGUGAGUGUCUCAGGAGCACAGGGGAGGGCAUAACUAACUCCAGAGGAUAAGGUGGGUGUUAGGAAAAGUUGAACAGAGAUGAAUCAGUGAGCAAGGCUUACAGGGUUAAUCAGGUAAAAGCACCCAGGCAGAACAUGCCCCUCUGACUUCAGAAUUUCUUGAGAUAGUUUUCUCAGCAUGUUUAAGAUGAUCAUGUCAUGAAAAUAAGGGAGAAAAAUACUGUUUUUUUGUGAUGACUAGAGAUUUUCCUGCAUCACAUUCAUAGAUCACAAUCCUCAGCCUCUUGAGAGACUAAAAGAACCAUCAGAGAAACCCCAACUCCAGUUCACAAGGCUCAAUGGAGAUAAUCAGCCUCCCAACUAAUUCCAUCUCUCUGGGACCAUGUGGAGCAGACCUUAAAGCAAUCCAUCACCUGAUUCCCUGUCUCUCUCACCUCUGCCUGGUUAGGACCACAGCACACUGUUGCAAUCGCCUUGAAUCUUCCAACAGCCUAUAAAACCUGGCUGUUUGCUUUACUUUUUGUGAGGGUAGGCAGUAGAGACAAAGGGCAAAAAGUUCCCCUAUUAGAACUCUUUAUGUUUAUUUUGUAACCUUUUGAACAAACACCUGUGCCUCAAGUCACAUGAAAAGAAAAGGUAGAGAAGUGAAAACGCUGCUUCCCUUCAACCUCAUAAAAAGAAACACUCAAAUUGGGACUUUCUUUCCUUCAAAGCACCAUCCUCCCACUCUACAUGGUCCCAGAUGCCAUCAUGUUGUUUUGGAAUGAGCACUGAGACUAUUCCUGACCAUGCCAGUAGAGUCUCCAUGGCGUCAUCAGGGCCAAGGGUCAAGGUACUUCAGCCACAUUUUUGGCAUGGCCAAGUAAACUGAUGCAUCUCCAGAAGGCCUUCACUGAGUGCCAAGAAUAUCACCAGUCCAGUGGCUGCACAUACACUACUACUCCAAGAAAAGCAGGUGCUCUGUAAAUGCUCAAAAACUUGAAGAUUCCCACAUAACACAAAUAAGCCAUGAAUGUCUGGAUAAAACCACUGUCUGGGUCCAACAGCUUCAGCCAGAAAGUGAGCAAUUCCAUAAUUCUAUUAUAAAGUUCAGCGUUUUUCUCCUCUAGUAAUUAGCUUCAUCAAACCAUUUCAUGUAUAAGUUGUAGUCUCCUAGGAUCAUUUAAACAUUUUGUUCUAAAAUUUAAAAAUAACCUAUUUCUGAUUAUCACCACUCAUUGCUAUCAUUGGAAAACGUUAUUAGUAAAGGACUAGGAGUAACUUCCUUGGCUGGUAUCAACAAAAUAGUAUGCUCUCAGAGUUGUUUAUAACAGAAGUAAAACUUAAAAUUAGGUAAUGUUGAUGAUUUAGUAGCCCCUGUGUUGCAAAUAUUAAUAGACGUUGAAGCUCACAAUGUAACCUUUGAGGAUACAUAAAAAAUACAUGAUAAAAGUGCAAGUCCUGGCAUUGUAUUUCCCCACAGGCCACCAUCAGCAUUUGGGGGGCAUCAAAUCUUUAUGGCUUUUGGUCACAGGAAAAUAGGAAGAGUGAUUUUACUUAAUCUUAAAAAGGCAUCUAGGAGUUCCCACUGUGGUGCAGUGGAAAGGAACCUGACUAGUAUCCAUGAGGACGUGGGUUCAAUCCCUGGCCUCGCUCAUGGGUUAAGGAUCCGGCUGUUGCCGUAAGCUGUGGUGUAGGUUGCAGACAUGGCUGGGAUCCCACAUUGCUGUGGCUCUGGUGUAGGCCAGUGGCUACAGCUCCGAUUAGACCCCCUAGCCUGGGAACCUCCAUAUGUUGCAGGAGUAGCCCUAGAAAAGCCAAAAAAAAAGGCAGAAAAAAAAUAAAAUAAAAUAUAUCACUUGUGGGUAGAGUUAUUUGAUAGAGCUACUAUUUUUAAUUGGAUAAAUUUUAUUCUCUUCUGAAGUGGAAUGGAAUUGAGAAAGCCUAUAAUUUGCAAUGUUUAUAUUUGGCAAAAUUUCAAAAACAUCAUAAACAGAGACAACUUAUUUGAUGAGUUUUGUCUUAUAAAAAAAUGUUGAAGAAAGGUACAUUGGAUAGAAGAAGAAAACAGCUGGAGAUGUUUACACAUUUUAAUAUGAAAAAAAUUGAAUUGGGAAUAUCAUCCAUUUAGCAUAAUUUGUUUUGAACAUUUCUCGGUGCCUGCAGGGAUAGUAUUUUCUCAAUUAAAAAAAGAGAGAAGAGUUCAUUGGAGUUAUCAAGCAUUCUAAUCUACAUACCAUAAAACAGAACUUUAAACAUUGCUAUUUUAUUAAAACAUUAAAAGCAAGAUUAUAUUGAAAACUAUAUUCUCAAAAAAAUGCUAAUGGCUUGGUAUUCGAGACAACCAUAAACAAGCAGAUUAAAAUAUGUGGCUAUAGCAGGAAUAAUUUUU
RNAcentral lists this long non-coding RNA (2717 nucleotides) under Sus scrofa (pig). RNAcentral describes it as "lncRNA (ENSSSCG00065038923.1)". Lineage: Eukaryota; Metazoa; Chordata; Mammalia; Artiodactyla; Suidae. The record is from RNAcentral.